CUCCAGUCUGAGGUGAGUAAGCUAAAUAAAAGUUUUAACAUCUUCUAAAGACAAUUCCCUUCCUAAAUGCAAAGUUUGAGAGACGUGGUUCACUCCAUUUAGCUAAUAUCAGCCUGCACUGCCUUCGGGCUGAUUUGUCAAGUUCACAAAAUGUGGAACGGGAUGUAAGGUUAGAAUCAGUGGCGAAUCGGAACAUAUCUCGAAGGCCUGGCCGACAAAACGGUCCACAUGACUGUCAGGCUCAGAGAAAAUUCGGGUUGUUUUUGUGUCAGUCGGUAAUUCUGCAACAGUGACUCUAAACUGACGCAGCACUAGUUGACAGACAGCAUUACAGCGUGAAAUCUAGCACAGCGUGACCCGGUUCCGUGAGGAAUUCUGUUCAGGAGGUCGCAUUUCAGGAUCUCCACAUCAUAUGUGACUGACUUUUACGUUAUAAUAACAUCACACACUAGGAAUGUUAUAAAGCGCCUAUAUGGGACAGUUUCUUUUGUAUUUUAUCUGACUUUAUAAACAUCAAUGUGCUUCUAUUUUUUUCAGGCUAAAUCUACCCAAGACACUGGCUGUCAGACUGAUUUAGUAAUCUGCAAGAAUGCACUUGUCCAGGCUGACGUGAAGCCUUGCCCGUAGCAAAGAGCUCACAGCCUCAGUGUCUUGUGACACAGGGACCAUGACAGAAAUUCAUCUUCCAGAAGGUCCCAGAGCAUCCACACCUCCUGAAAAGACCAAGAUGUGAGGUGUCUGCUGUUGAUUCCAGCUUCCACCUCAGUGACAGUACAAGCUCAGUGAACUGUUCAAGGAGACUCAGCAAAAUAUGGACUCUACACCAUGAGGCAGGCACACGUUAAUAACUCUAUAAGAGCACAUAAGCCUGGCUGAUCACCUGAUAACUCCUGUCAUCUGGUUGUGACAGCAUGAGGAUGUCCUCACACACCUGUAACCUAUCAGCUCAUCUGGCAGAAUAGAGAGAAGAGACAACACCACAUCUCCUGUUCCUGGAAAGCCUUCAGCCAUCCUUCGAUGACUGAGAACCUCCAUCAGCUCUGUCUCCUGUCUGCCUACAAUUAUUAUAAUAAAUAUUGUGUUUGACAAGUUUUUUGUGCUGCC
Molecule: non-coding RNA, 1104 nt
Organism: Nothobranchius furzeri (turquoise killifish)
Lineage: Eukaryota; Metazoa; Chordata; Actinopteri; Cyprinodontiformes; Nothobranchiidae
Source: RefSeq, a predicted model, not a curated record